UACGUAGGGGGCAAGCGUUGUCCGGAAUCAUUGGGCGUAAAGCGCGUGUAGGCGGCCAGAAAAGUCCGCUGUGAAAACUCGAGGCUUAACCUCGAGAUGUCGGCGGAAACCAUCUGGCUAGAGUCCGGAAGAGGAGAGUGGAAUUCCUGGUGUAGCGGUGAAAUGCGCAGAUAUCAGGAAGAACACCCGUGGCGAAGGCGGCUCUCUGGGACGGUACUGACGCUGAGACGCGAAAGCGUGGGGAGCGAACAGG
Molecule: ribosomal RNA, 253 nt
Filed under: uncultured bacterium
Lineage: Bacteria
Description: partial 16S ribosomal RNA
Rfam family: Bacterial small subunit ribosomal RNA
Source: RNAcentral